CCUACGGGAGGCUGCAGUGAGGAAUAUUGGUCAAUGGGCGUAAGCCUGAACCAGCCAAGUCGCGUGAGGGAUGAAGGUUCUCUGGAUCGUAAACCCCUUUUAUAAGGGAAUAAAGUGUGGGACGUGUCUUAUUUUGUACGUACCUUAUGAAUAAGGAUCGGCUAACUUCGUGCCAGCCGCCGCAGUAAUACGGGGGAUGCGAGCGUUAUCCGGAUCUAUUGGGUUUAAAGGGUGCGUAGGCGGAAGGUUAAGUCAGCGGUAAAAUGCCGGUGCUCAACACCGGCCUGCCGUUGAAACUGGUCUUCUUGAGUGAGCGAGAGGUAUGCGGAAUGCGUGGUGUAGCGGUGAAAUGCGUAGAUAUCACGCAGAACUCCGAUGGCGAAGGCAGCAUACCGGCGCUCAACUGACGCUGAGGCACGAAAGCGUGGGGAUCGAACAGGAUUAGAUACCCGAGUAGUC
Molecule: ribosomal RNA, 459 nt
Filed under: uncultured bacterium
Lineage: Bacteria
Description: partial 16S ribosomal RNA
Rfam family: Bacterial small subunit ribosomal RNA
Source: RNAcentral